AUUGAACGCUGGCGGCAGGCCUAAUACAUGCAAGUCGAACGAGUGGCGGACGGGUGCGUCCUGUCUGGGAACCUGCCCGUAGGAGGGGGAUAACUACUGGAAACGGUAGCUAAUACCGCAUACCAUCCGAUUUGCCCCGCUGGGAUUAGCUAGUAGGUGGGGUAAAGGCUAACCUAGGCGACUAUCCCUAGCUGGUCUGAGAGGAUGACCAGCCACACUGGAACUGAGACACGGUCCAGACUCCUACGGGAGGCAGCAGUGGGGAAGAUUGCACAAUGGGCGCAAGCCUGAUGCAGCCAUGCCGCGUGUAUGAAGAAGGCUUUCGGGUUGUAAAGUACUUUCAGCGAGGAGGCGGUACUCGAAGAAGAAGCAACGGCUAACUCCGUGCCAGCAGCCGCGGUAAUAC
This 406-nucleotide ribosomal RNA is filed under the name uncultured bacterium. RNAcentral's name for it is "partial 16S ribosomal RNA". It matches the Rfam family "Bacterial small subunit ribosomal RNA", at positions 30 to 526 of the family's 1533-position model. The record is from RNAcentral.